This 649-nucleotide ribosomal RNA is filed under the name uncultured bacterium. RNAcentral describes it as "bacterial SSU rRNA". It matches the Rfam family "Bacterial small subunit ribosomal RNA", at positions 43 to 685 of the family's 1533-position model. The record is from RNAcentral.
CAGGCCUAACACAUGCAAGUCGAGGGGUAACAGGGAGUGCUUGCACUCCGCUGACGACCGGCGCACGGGUGCGUAACGCGUAUGCAACCUACCUUUUACAGGGGGAUAGUCAAGAGAAAUUUUGAAUAAUACCCCAUACGAUCAUCAAGACACAUGUUUAGAUGAGGAAAACUUCGGUGGUAAAAGAUGGGCAUGCGUCCUAUUAGCUAGAUGGAGAGGUAACGGCUCCCCAUGGCAACGAUAGGUAGGGGUCCUGAGAGGGAGAUCCCCCACACUGGUACUGAGACACGGACCAGACUCCUACGGGAGGCAGCAGUGAGGAAUAUUGGACAAUGGAGGCAACUCUGAUCCAGCCAUGCCGCGUGCAGGAAGACUGCCCUAUGGGUUGUAAACUGCUUUUAUACAGGAAGAAACACUCCCUCGUGAGGGAGCUUGACGGUACUGUACGAAUAAGGAUCGGCUAACUCCGUGCCAGCAGCCGCGGUAAUACGGAGGAUCCAAGCGUUAUCCGGAAUUAUUGGGUUUAAAGGGUCCGUAGGUGGUUUGCUAAGUCAGAGGUGAAAUCCUGCCGCUUAACGGUAGCACUGCCUUUGAUACUGGCAAACUUGAGUCAUUGUGAAGUAGUUAGAAUGUGUAGUGUAGCGGUGAA